ACGAACGCUGGCGGCGUGCUUCACACCUGCAAGUCGAACGGAAAGGCCCUGCUUGCAGGGUACUCGAGUGGCGAACGGGUGAGUAACACGUGGGUGAUCUGCCCUGCACUUCGGGAUAAGCCUGGGAAACUGGGUCUAAUACCGGAUAGGAGCCAUUUUUAGUGUGAUGGUUGGAAAGUUUUUUCGGUGUAGGAUGAGCUCGCGGCCUAUCAGCUUGUUGGUGGGGUAAUGGCCUACCAAGGCGGCGACGGGUAGCCGGCCUGAGAGGGUGGACGGCCACAUUGGGACUGAGAUGCGGCCCAGACUCCUACGGGAGGCAGCAGUGGGGAAUAUUGCACAAUGGGCGCAAGCCUGAUGCAGCGACGCCGCGUGGGGGAUGACGGCCUUCGGGUUGUAAACUCCUUUCGCUAGGGACGAAGCUUUUUGUGACGGUACCUAGAUAAGAAGCACCGGCUAACUACGUG
RNAcentral lists this ribosomal RNA (464 nucleotides) under uncultured bacterium. RNAcentral's name for it is "partial 16S ribosomal RNA". It matches the Rfam family "Bacterial small subunit ribosomal RNA", at positions 29 to 507 of the family's 1533-position model. The record is from RNAcentral.